AUGAACGCUGGCGGCGUGCCUAAUACAUGCAAGUCGAGCGAACAGACGAGGAGCUUGCUCCUCUGACGUUAGCGGCGGACGGGUGAGUAACACGUGGAUAACCUACCUAUAAGACUGGGAUAGCUUCGGGAAACCGGAGCUAAUACCGGAUAAUAUAUUUAACCGCAUGGUUCAAUAGUGAAAGACGGUUUUGCUGUCACUUAUAGAUGGAUCCGCGCCGCAUUAGCUAGUUGGUAAGGUAACGGCUUACCAAGGCGACGAUGCGUAGCCGACCUGAGAGGGUGAUCGGCCACACUGGAACUGAGACACGGUCCAGACUCCUACGGGAGGCAGCAGUAGGGAAUCUUCCGCAAUGGGCGAAAGCCUGACGGAGCAACGCCGCGUGAGUGAUGAAGGUCUUCGGAUCGUAAAACUCUGUUAUUAGGGAAGAACAAAUGUGUAAGUAACUAUGCACGUCUUGACGGUACCUAAUCAGAAAGCCACGGCUAACUACGUG
Molecule: ribosomal RNA, 496 nt
Filed under: uncultured bacterium
Lineage: Bacteria
Description: partial 16S ribosomal RNA
Rfam family: Bacterial small subunit ribosomal RNA
Source: RNAcentral